UACGGAAGGCAGCAGUGGGGAAUAUUGCACAAUGGGCGCAAGCCUGAUGCAGCCAUGCCGCGUGUAUGAAGAAGGCCUUCGGGUUGUAAAGUACUUUCAGUCGUGAGGAAGGUGUUAAGGUUAAUAACCUUAGCAAUUGACGUUAGCGACAGAAGAAGCACCGGCUAACUCCGUGCCAGCAGCCGCGGUAAUACGGAGGGUGCGAGCGUUAAUCGGAAUUACUGGGCGUAAAGGGCACGCAGGCGGUUAAUUAAGUUGGAUGUGAAAUCCCCGGGCUUAACCUGGGAAUGGCAUUCAAGCUGGUUAGCUAGAGUCUUGUAGAGGGGGUAGAAUUCCAUGUGUAGCGGUGAAAUGCGUAGAGAUGUGGAGGAAUACCGGUGGCGAAGGCGGCCCCUGGACAAAGGCUGACGCUCAUGUGCGAAAGCGUGGGGAGCAAAC
This 438-nucleotide ribosomal RNA is filed under the name uncultured bacterium. RNAcentral's name for it is "bacterial SSU rRNA". It matches the Rfam family "Bacterial small subunit ribosomal RNA", at positions 340 to 773 of the family's 1533-position model. The record is from RNAcentral.